AUUGAACGCUGGCGGCAGGCCUAACACAUGCCAGUCGAACGGUAACAGGAAGAAGCUUGCUUCUUUGCUGACGAGUGGCGGACGGGUGAGUAAUGUCUGGGAAACUGCCUGAUGGAGGGGGAUAACUACUGGAAACGGUAGCUAAUACCGCAUAACGUCGCAAGACCAAAGAGGGGGAGCUUCGGGCCUCUUGCGAUCGGAUGUGCCCAGAUGGGAUUAGCUAGUAGGUGGGGUAACGGCUCACCUAGGUGACGAUCCCUAGCUGGUCUGAGAGGAUGACCAGCCACACUGGAACUGAGACACGGUCCAGACUCCUACGGGAGGCAGCAGUGGGGAAUAUUGCACAAUGGGCGCAAGCCUGAUGCAGCCAUGCCGCGUGUAUGAAGAAGGCCUUCGGGUUGUAAAGUACUUUCGGCGGGGAGGAAGGGAGUAAAGUUAAUACCUUUGCUCAUUGACGUUACCCGCAGAAGAAGCACCGGCUAACUCCGUG
RNAcentral lists this ribosomal RNA (490 nucleotides) under uncultured bacterium. Its description in RNAcentral is "partial 16S ribosomal RNA". It matches the Rfam family "Bacterial small subunit ribosomal RNA", at positions 30 to 507 of the family's 1533-position model. The record is from RNAcentral.